RNAcentral lists this transfer RNA (75 nucleotides) under Sphingobium phage Lacusarx. RNAcentral's name for it is "tRNA-Val". It matches the Rfam family "tRNA". Rfam says of the family: Transfer RNA (tRNA) molecules are approximately 80 nucleotides in length. Their secondary structure includes four short double-helical elements and three loops (D, anti-codon, and T loops). Lineage: Duplodnaviria; Heunggongvirae; Uroviricota; Caudoviricetes. The record is from RNAcentral.
GCCUCGUUAGCUCAGCGGUAGAGCGCUGCUAUGACAUGGCAGAUGACGGUGGUUCAAACCCAUCACGAGGCACCA